Physcomitrium patens is the source of this 1588-nucleotide non-coding RNA. Lineage: Eukaryota; Viridiplantae; Streptophyta; Bryopsida; Funariales; Funariaceae. The record is from RefSeq and is a predicted model, not a curated record.
UUUCUCUGAUUUUUCGCUGGCGGCAAAUGCUCUGAAAUCUGGGUGUCUGCUGCGGCUAGGAUGUGUGGUGCUUGGCUUCUUGUUGCGGUGGUGUCGCAAGCACUUUUGAAGCACUACUUCGGCAAAGGACCGUUCAGGGACACCUUGGUUUGCAGUCUUGACAAAUCGUGUUGCGGUUCCUAACGGUAGUACCGUGUACGACGGUUGGUGCUGUGUGGUGGUUUUUCUUCCUCUUCUAGCAUUGCGAUUGGACGUUUGCGGAGCCGGCGCUGUCCUCUUCGGCUCGAGUUGUUGUCCACCAGUGGUUACUCGGUGACCUCUCUCUUCAAUUUAGAUGGGGUGAUCUCAAGUCGCCUUAUUGGGUCGACGCUACUGCAUAAGCACCUUCUUCCUUGAUAUUGGCUCUGGGGAAGGAGCAAAGAAUCAGUUGCACUAGCUGGACUAGUGUUCUUCAAAGAAAUCGUCGUUGUGCAAGCAAGCCUAAGUGGCAGUUGGAAGUCAAUCACGACGAUCAUGAGUUGGAGAGUUGUAAGUGCAACAAAGGAUCACGACGGGAUUGAAGCAUUAGCGAUUCUCGACCAUCACAGCAACAUAGAUCACAUGCAAGAUUGCACCAAAGAGGAUACAUAGAGGGGGCUUGCGUAGAUUUUGCAAGUAGAUUGGAGCGUAUUUUGCAUGCCUAGUUGAUCAUUUAGUUAAGGAGUUGCAGUUAGAUCAUAGGAAGCAGAUUGCGUUAUGGAAUUCGUAGGAACUCAUCAAAGUCACUAAGAAGGUCAAAUUGUCUAGAGGCACAUGGUCGAAGCUGCUCAAGGAGGGUGGCAUUUUGGUAAAGAUAUCUCGCGGUGGAACAGAAUCGGUGAGAAUUUAGGAAGGUUGAGGAAGGCGGUGCAGUGUUAAGUACGAACCAACUCAGCCCUAGGCAUAGCUUAUGGUGCCGGGCCGACCGUUCACGAGGACUUCACCACACUGUGGAGAGCCUUUUAUUGCGGUUGUGUAAGGCGCAAAAUUCAAGUUGAAGGUUGUGGCGAAGGAGCACCCAGAACUAAAGGGGGAAAAAAAAGAAAAGAAAAGAAAAGAAAAACCCCUUCUACAUUGUCUUGUUCAGUGGAAGAGCACAAGCGGCGGUUCUGGUAGCGGAUUCAAAUUGACACGGCAGUAGAAAUUUGUGUCGAGCUAGCGUGGCUAGUUCCGAUCCAAUCGACACUUCAAUUGGAUAGAGGCCUUGUUGUGGAAGGAGAAGAGGCGGAGGACUCCCGCAGCCGAUAGGAGGUAUUUUGGUGUUGGAUUGAUCUUCGCUAGCGGCCAUUGUUCUUCUUCAGGGGCUUCGAAUUCUACAAUCAAUCGGUAAUCAGUAUUAUUUUGGAAGGACAGUAAGUGAACAGCCAGCGGACCCUCCAACCCCUUUGUGCAACUUCGGCAUCCUGAUCUGAAGCUAAUCAUUAGAGCUGCUGUAGACUAUCUUCAGAUUACUAGCAACUUAGUGGUUGAGAUCCAACAUUCAAUCCGGUUUUGGAAAGUAGGCAAGACAUUGAAUUUACAUCAUUGAGUUUGGGUUAAAAAUAAAUAACUUUAUGUGAGUUUAAAUCAA